Molecule: ribosomal RNA, 253 nt
Filed under: uncultured bacterium
Lineage: Bacteria
Description: partial 16S ribosomal RNA
Rfam family: Bacterial small subunit ribosomal RNA
Source: RNAcentral
UACGGGGGGGGCAAGCGUUGUUCGGAAUUACUGGGCGUAAAGGGUGCGUAGGUGGCGAGGCAAGUCAGGUGUGAAAUCUCGGGGCUCAACCCCGAAACUGCACUUGAUACUGCCUUGCUAGAGUACUGGAGAGGAGAUUGGAAUUUACGGUGUAGCAGUGAAAUGCGUAGAUAUCGUAAGGAAGACCAGUGGCGAAGGCGAAUCUCUGGACAGUUACUGACACUGAGGCACGAAGGCCAGGGGAGCAAACGGG